UACGAAGGGGGCUAGCGUUGCUCGGAAUCACUGGGCGUAAAGGGUGCGUAGGCGGGUCUUUUAAGUCAGGGGUGAAAUCCUGGAGCUCAACUCCAGAACUGCCUUUGAUACUGAAGAUCUUGAGUUCGGGAGAGGUGAGUGGAACUGCGAGUUGUAGAGGUGAAAUUCGUAGAUAUUCGCAAGAACACCAGUGGCGAAGGCGGCUCACUGGCCCGAUACUGACGCUGAGGCACGAAAGCGUGGGGGAGCAAACAGG
This 256-nucleotide ribosomal RNA is filed under the name uncultured bacterium. RNAcentral's name for it is "partial 16S ribosomal RNA". It matches the Rfam family "Bacterial small subunit ribosomal RNA", at positions 524 to 776 of the family's 1533-position model. The record is from RNAcentral.